Molecule: ribosomal RNA, 473 nt
Filed under: uncultured bacterium
Lineage: Bacteria
Description: partial 16S ribosomal RNA
Rfam family: Bacterial small subunit ribosomal RNA
Source: RNAcentral
GGUGAACGCUGGCGGCGUGCCUAAGACAUGCAAGUCGAGCGGGCCGCGGGGUUUUACUCCGUGGUCAGCGGCGGACGGGUGAGUAACGCGUGGGUGACCUACCCGGAAGAGGGGGACAACCCGGGGAAACUCGGGCUAAUCCCCCAUGUGGACCCGCCCCUUGGGGUGUGUCCAAAGGGCUUUGCCCGCUUCCGGAUGGGCCCGCGUCCCAUCAGCUAGUUGGUGGGGUAAUGGCCCACCAAGGCGACGACCGGUAGCCGGCCUGAGAGGAUGGCCGGCCACAGGGCCACUGGGACACUGACCCCACCCCUACGGAAGGCAGAAGGUAGGAACCUUCCGCAAUGAGCGCAAGCCUGACGGAGCGACGCCGCGUGGAGGAAGAAGCCCUGCGGGGUGUAAACUCCUGAACCCGGGACGAAACCCCCGACGAGGGGACUGACGGUACCGGGGUAAUAGCGCCGGCCAACUCCGUG